Long non-coding RNA from Mastomys coucha (southern multimammate mouse), 963 nucleotides. RefSeq lists it as uncharacterized. Lineage: Eukaryota; Metazoa; Chordata; Mammalia; Rodentia; Muridae. The transcript has 3 exons. The record is from RefSeq and is a predicted model, not a curated record.
CCAUGCUCCGUGUCUGUUGUCAAUCUAUGACAUCAAUUUUACCUAAACCCAAGGAAACGAGUCUUAGAUAAAACAUUGUGCGGAUGUUCUGAGAGCAUUUCUGCUGCAUGGAUCUGUUUGAGUGCUAGCUGGGAGGAGACCUCACAUCCAGCUACUGGCUCCAACAACACAUGCCAUUUUGUUUCUUCACACUUGAAAUACCAAUGGAUAAGUCUGGGACUUAGAAAGUCUUGAUUUGUACCCGACCCAGGAAAUGAAGGCUCAGUGGAUCACAAUGUUUGGGGUUGCUUCACAUUCAAGCAGAUGCAUCCUGGUCUUGCUGGAUGACGUUCAUUGGGAUCAUUUCAGCACUCUCCUCGCCUUCGUUGUUGCUUACUGGAGGAUUCCUUGGUUCCUGAUGGCAGAUGUAAAUGGGGAGGCCAUCUGGCUCAGCAAAGGCUACAGCCCGAGGAGCACUAACCACGCGGUUGGUAGGGCGGCGGCGCCUUCCCCAGCGCUGGCUCCACUGGAUCUUGAACUGCGUCCACUGGCGCUUCAGGGUGGCUUGCACCUGCAAGAGUAAAGAAAGCUUGUUUCCAAAGACCGUUGGUUGUGACCCCAGUAAACCUUAUGUACAUGACCCUUGGGGCAUAUCAGAGGUGAAAGGAGACUACAUUGUAGAUCUGAUCUAAGAACUAAGUUUAUACUAAGGCUAAGAAAUAUACCUCCUUGGAAUAUCAAUAUGCCAGUCAAGGUAGCGAGUUACUUGUCUGUGUAACAACCAGCAAACAAGUCAUUUGCCAUUUUUGAGCAAAGCUUUCUGUCUCAGCUCUCAUAAGCUUUCGAGAGAAGGUUGGUUCGUUUCAUAAUGUAGCAGAUAUGUCUCAGUAGAAAGACUUAAGAAAAAUUACCUGUUGCCUUUCAUGCUAAGGACAUGAUUUGACCAAAAUCUGAGCUUGUGUAUCAUAAAAAUAUAUUCAUAAA